RNAcentral lists this ribosomal RNA (468 nucleotides) under uncultured bacterium. RNAcentral describes it as "partial 16S ribosomal RNA". It matches the Rfam family "Bacterial small subunit ribosomal RNA", at positions 28 to 507 of the family's 1533-position model. The record is from RNAcentral.
GACGAACGCUGGCGGCGUGCUUAACACAUGCAAGUCGAACGGAAAGGCCCUGCUUUUGUGGGGUGCUCGAGUGGCGAACGGGUGAGUAACACGUGAGUAACCUGCCCUUGACUUUGGGAUAACUUCAGGAAACUGGGGCUAAUACCGGAUAGGAUCUCCUGCUGCAUGGUGGGGGUUGGAAAGUUUCGGCGGUUGGGGAUGGACUCGCGGCUUAUCAGCUUGUUGGUGGGGUAGUGGCUUACCAAGGCUUUGAGGGGUAGCCGGCCUGAGAGGGUGACCGGCCACAUUGGGACUGAGAUAGGGCCCAGACUCCUACGGGAGGCAGCAGUGGGAAAUAUUGCACAAUGGGCGGAAGCCUGAUGCAGCAACCCCGCGUGCGGAAUGACGGCCUUCGGGUUGUAAACCGCUUUCGCCGGUGACAAACCGGGAGUGACGGUAAUGGGUAAAGAAGCACCGGCUAACUACGUG